UGUGUGGUGUCCAUACCCUACCAGUGGGUGUACAUGAAUCAGCUCUCCCCUUCCACUGAGGGUUCUAGGUGUCCACCCUGAGUCCACAGGGCUUCCAUGGCCAGGACCUCUUCAUACUGAGCCACACAGAAUGUAUAUUGCAUUCCCACAACUGAGUGCUUUAAAUAAGUAAAUAACAGCUGGAGGACAAGUGGGUGGAGACCGAAUUAAACUAAACCUUAUAAAUCUCCUUCACCUCCACUCUACCAGGACACAAGCCUUGAGAAGAUUAGACAGCUUUUGGAUUUUCUAGUCUCCACCCUCCACAGAGUGGUCCUCAGUGUGUCACCCAGGACUCCCAGAGGGUUCCCAGGGCCCUAUGGUGAACAGCACUAGUGGGUAAAACUGCUGGAACCUCAGCCUGGGUCCAGGCUGUGGUACUCUGCUCCUGCGGCCACGGGCUCCUUCAGUACUGUACACUUGGUGUCAAGGAAAGGAAAGAGAGUACCGGUCACAUUUAAGACUGUCCUCGAUAAGCCAGUAUAAAAAAAUACUAAUUUUUAAUUUCAAAUUGUUUGUAUUGUUAUUGUGGAGGGUAUAUACAUGAUCUGGGAUGGGGGGCAGGGGCCGCAUGCCAUUGAUCACCUAUGAAGAGCAGAGAACAACAUGGUAGAGUCAGCUCUCUCCUUCCACCUUUAAGUGGGGAUGCAAGAAUCAAACUCCAGACUCCCAUGUUAAGUGCCUUUAACUGCUGGGCCCUUUUGCCAGCCCUAACUUUAUUCAGUUUUGACCACUGAGCACAUGCCUUUGGUGUGCUCUCUGAAAAGCUUUUGCUUCAUUGUGAAGUACCAGUCAGUCUCCGGGGACAGAGUGUUAUACCCUGGUCUGCAUCAAGGGUUAGGUUGGUUCUUACAUGGAGAUCCCUGUGCCUUGACAGAAGGGCUGACUGUGGUUAUUCCGAUUUGGGGAUGUGUCACGAAGGCUCUGUGAAGUGAACCAAGUGUCUGUCACUCAGAGGGGAACAGUCAGCUGUGUUUCUUGUCAAUACGUUGUUCAAUCUUGCAUGCAGAAGUGACGGGCUUGGAAUACGUGGGCCCAACCCCAUGAUUGACCUGAUACUUAGAAGCUGCUCUGGUGUUGGGGGGCGGGGAGCUAACCAUGUUGAGGCCUUGAGAUGAUUGCUGCUGAUUAAAGAGAUGUGUCACCCCUUGGAAAACUACAGAACUCGGUGAACCAACCCCAUGCCUGUGAAACCAAUACAGGGGAUUACAAAACCUCAGCCACAGGACAAGAUAGAGCGACUGAUUUGAAUCUGAGCAGAACAUGAAGUCACUGGUGUGGUUUCAGGAUCCAUAUUCUAAUUAAUCGAUGGCUGGCACGGGUGGUUCCCGCCUCUAACUCUAACUCGGCUCUAGUGAGGCAGGAAGUCUGUCAUUAGUUUGAGGCCAGCUGGUCUCCAGAGUGAAAUCCUGUCUCAAAAACAACCAACCUAAACC
RNAcentral lists this long non-coding RNA (1475 nucleotides) under Mus musculus (house mouse). RNAcentral describes it as "long non-coding RNA chr9:69303481-69304956". Lineage: Eukaryota; Metazoa; Chordata; Mammalia; Rodentia; Muridae. The record is from RNAcentral.